Molecule: ribosomal RNA, 207 nt
Filed under: uncultured bacterium
Lineage: Bacteria
Description: partial 16S ribosomal RNA
Rfam family: Bacterial small subunit ribosomal RNA
Source: RNAcentral
CGUGUAGGCGGUUUGCCGAGUCAGAUGUGAAAGCCCCGGGCUUAACCUGGGAACUGCAUUUGAUACUGGCAGGCUAGAGGUUGGAAGAGGAGAGUGGAAUUCCCAGUGUAGAGGUGAAAUUCGUAGAUAUUGGGAAGAACACCAGUGGCAAAGGCGGCUCUCUGGUCCACACCUGACGCUGAGGCGCGAAAGCGUGGGGAGCAAACA